This 80-nucleotide transfer RNA is filed under the name Opitutus terrae PB90-1. RNAcentral describes it as "tRNA-Cys (GCA) (tRNA-Cys-GCA-3-1)". The record is from RNAcentral. Lineage: Bacteria; Pseudomonadati; Verrucomicrobiota; Opitutia; Opitutales; Opitutaceae.
GGACGUGUUUCUACGAGUGAAACAGCGACUUACACGACGCAGCCGUGUUAUCCCCGGUUCGAGUCCGGGAGCGUCCACCA